RNAcentral lists this long non-coding RNA (890 nucleotides) under Ananas comosus (pineapple). RNAcentral describes it as "long non-coding RNA (ACOM_LNC026919)". The record is from RNAcentral. Lineage: Eukaryota; Viridiplantae; Streptophyta; Magnoliopsida; Poales; Bromeliaceae.
UAUAAAUUUUUUUAAAAUUCUACUUAAACAUAAAUUUCAUAAAAAUAAUUUAUUAUAAUAUUUAAAUAUAAAUAAUAUGUAUUAAGUACAAUUAAUAAUUUUAUAAUAAAAAUAAUGUAUUAUAAUAUAUAAUAUAUUAUAUUUAUAUGAUUUAUUUUUAAUUUAAUUUAUAAUUUUAAUUAAGCUUGAAAUUAAGCAUUGUAAGGACUAUUCCACCAAAAUGGUGAAAUAGUAAAUCUCAAGCUAUUCCGGGAUAACCGGGAAUAAUAAGGUUUGACCGGAAUAAAAUAUUCCAGCAAAAAGUCAUCCCGUUUGGCGGAAUAGCAAGGAUAACUUUCGUUAUCCCCGCUUAUCCUCUGAACCAAACGGUAAAUGCUGAGCAGGCCCUUCGAAUUUUUUUAUUAAUAUACUUAGGCUUAGUUUGGUAUCGAGACCCAUCUAAUUUUUUUAGAUAAAAUAGGUAAAAAUAUAUAGGGAUAUACUUCUGCGUUCUCCGGUGGGACCGUAGAAAAUAUAUCGUAAUCGACUCAUCGCGAUAUGUGGAAUAUAAUAUUACGUACGGAAACAAACAUGAUAUUUUUCUCACCGCACGUAACGCAAUCUCAUCGCAAUCCUAAAUGAAGCUUUAGAAAAAUACUAUAAUUAUAAAAUAGUUCUCUAAAAAUAUCAUAUACAAAAUUAGGUCUAUACAGUGAAUAAAUUACAACUUUCUAAAUGUGGUAAAUCAUUCACCGCUUUUUUCAAAGAAUUAAACUAUUUUUAGUAUUUAAUACUAUACAUCUUUUGAAGUUUCGAUGUAAAAAAUACAUCAAUUAGGGUAAAAGUGGUGAAUAAUUCAUCGCUUUUAGAAUGCGGUAAAUGAUUCACCGUUUUUAUCAGUCUAUUUUUAC